AGAGCAUUGACCGAGAGGCCGAUGGUAGCGGGUUGCUAACCCGUAGGGUGGUAACGCCCCGUAGGUUCGAAUCCUACAUGCUCUGCCA
RNAcentral lists this transfer RNA (88 nucleotides) under Pseudomonas phage PPSC2. RNAcentral describes it as "tRNA-Ser". It matches the Rfam family "tRNA". Rfam says of the family: Transfer RNA (tRNA) molecules are approximately 80 nucleotides in length. Their secondary structure includes four short double-helical elements and three loops (D, anti-codon, and T loops). The record is from RNAcentral. Lineage: Duplodnaviria; Heunggongvirae; Uroviricota; Caudoviricetes; Vandenendeviridae.